Molecule: unclassified non-coding RNA, 279 nt
Filed under: Hevea brasiliensis (rubber tree)
Lineage: Eukaryota; Viridiplantae; Streptophyta; Magnoliopsida; Malpighiales; Euphorbiaceae
Source: RNAcentral
UCUGUAACAAUUUCAGCUCUAUUAUCAGAAAUACAGCCUGCUGUGGAAACAGAUUCCUGUGAAUCUGAGACAUUAUUCACCUGAUCAUCAGAUAUCCCCUCUUCCAAACUCACAUUCCCAGAAAUGGAGUUGCUAUUAUCAGUAUGACUUACACUAACACUUGCAGGAUUAUUUUCCACCUGUUUUGCAGGAUCAUUAUCAAUCACAGAUACAGGGUUUGCUUCCUUAGUUUUUUCUGGCACAUUAGCCAGUGACUUAUUUUCUUCAUCCAUUAAAUAA